Molecule: long non-coding RNA, 254 nt
Filed under: Manihot esculenta (cassava)
Lineage: Eukaryota; Viridiplantae; Streptophyta; Magnoliopsida; Malpighiales; Euphorbiaceae
Description: long non-coding RNA (MESC_LNC000576)
Source: RNAcentral
UUUUCAAUGGGAACAUUUUACUAAGAGCUGAGAAAUCCACUAAAUGAAUAGGAUUCAAACUCUACUCUACAUAAAUUACAUAUACGAAGAAAAGAAAAUAUUUAGUAUAAAUAAUAAACCUCUGCAGUAGCACAGUAUGCCUAAAAUUGCAGUAACGUUGGACUUAUCCAAACCAUGGAAAGUGGCAUAAUAAAAUGGCUAGCAGAGAGCACUACAAGGGAGGAGAAGAGUUUACCUCUAACAUUAAAUAAAUU